GAUUGGGCACUUUUGGGGUCACGGAGUCCGGCCCUACCUGACUUGGGGGGGGGGUUGGGGGCCCACGCGGAGCCGUCGUGCAAAACACCACCCUCGUGCAAAACGCCAUCCUCGUGCAAAAGGCCAUCCUUGUGCAAACGCAUCCUUUCGCAAACACAACCCUCGUGCAAAUGUCACCCUUGCGCAAAUGCCGUCCUCGUGCCAACACCAUCCUUGCACAAACGCCAUCCUUGCACAAACGCCAUCCUCGUGCAAACGCCAUCCUCACGCAAACACCACCGUCAAACACCACCCUCGUGCAAACACUACCCUCACACAAACACCAUCUUUGUGCCAACACCAUCCUUGCACAAACACCAUCCUCGUGCCAGCACCAUCCUUGCACAAACACCGUUCUCGUGCAAACAACAUCCUUGCACAAACGCCGCCCUUGUGCAAACACCAUCCUUGCGCAAACACCAUCCUCGUGCAAACACCAUCCUCACACAAACACCGCCCUCGUGCAAACCACAUCCUCACGCAAACACCGCCCUCGUGCAAACACCAUCCGUGCACAAGCGCCGCCCUUGCACACACUGCUGUGCACACACGAUUUCAAUCAAUCCUUGUGCACCACACGGAUGCAUGCUUUGUGCACACACUUGCACGCACAGCGCACUCGCACGCUUUUCCUCGUGUGCAAUAGCCUCGUGCACACGCCAUCCUCGUGCGCGCAAAAACAGUGAGCUCGCCGUUCUUGUGCACACUCACCCUCAUGCUUGCACGAUGCGCACACUCACACCGCUCUCAGCUUUGUGCUCUCGCGCUCCUUGCACGCCUGCGCACACUUGUGCCACUCACCCGCGCCAUGACCCUCGUGUCCCUUGCACGCGCCUCAUCCUCGCACACCGCGUGCUCACACCCGUGCACUCACACACUCGUGCUCCCGGCACACUUGCGCACACUCACGCACUUGUGUCCUCGCACACACGGGCACUCACACGCUCGUGCCACCCACCUGCGCUCUCAGCCCUCCGCUCCUCACGCGCUCGUGCCGCUCUCACCCUCGUGCUCCUCGCACGCUCGUGCGCUCACACUCGUGUGCUUUGGGCAGGGGGCGGGGUUAUGGGGUUUUAG
Molecule: long non-coding RNA, 1116 nt
Filed under: Phasianus colchicus (ring-necked pheasant)
Lineage: Eukaryota; Metazoa; Chordata; Aves; Galliformes; Phasianidae
Description: lncRNA (ENSPCLG00000019780.1)
Source: RNAcentral